UGGGGAAUUUUGGACAAUGGGGGCAACCCUGAUCCAGCCAUGCCGCGUGUGUGAAGAAGGCCUUCGGGUUGUAAAGCACUUUUGGCGGGAACGAAACGGUCUGUGCUAAUACCACGGACUAAUGACGGUACCCGCAGAAUAAGCACCGGCUAACUACGUGCCAGCAGCCGCGGUAAUACGUAGGGUGCAAGCGUUAAUCGGAAUUACUGGGCGUAAAGCGUGCGCGGGCGGUUUCGCAAGUCAGAUGUGAAAUCCCCGGGCUCAACCUGGGAACUGCAUUUGAAACUACGAGGCUUGAGUGUAGCAGAGGGGGUUGGAAUUCCGACGUGUAGCAGUGAAAUGCGUAGAGAUGUGGAGGAACACCGAUGGCGAAGGCAGCCCCCUGGGCUAACACUGACG
Molecule: ribosomal RNA, 399 nt
Filed under: uncultured bacterium
Lineage: Bacteria
Description: bacterial SSU rRNA
Rfam family: Bacterial small subunit ribosomal RNA
Source: RNAcentral